CCUACGGGCGGCAGCAGUGGGGAAUAUUGCACAAUGGGGGAAACCCUGAUGCAGCGACGCCGCGUGAGUGAAGAAGUAAUUCGUUAUGUAAAGCUCUAUCAGCAGGGAAGAAAAUGACGGUACCUGAGUAAGAAGCCCCGGCUAACUACGUGCCAGCAGCCGCGGUAAUACGUAGGGGGCAAGCGGUAUCCGGAUUUACUGGGUGGAAAGGGAGCGUAGACGGCAGUGCAAGUCUGGAGUGAAAGGCGGGGGCUCAACCCCCGGACUGCUCUGGAAACUGUACGGCUGGAGUGCAGGAGAGGUAAGUGGAAUUCCUAGUGUAGCGGUGAAAUGCGUAGAUAUUAGGAGGAACACCAGUGGCGAAGGCGGCUUACUGGACUGUAACUGACGUUGAGGCUCGAAAGCGUGGGGAGCAAACAGGAUUAGAUACCCUUGUAGUC
Molecule: ribosomal RNA, 440 nt
Filed under: uncultured bacterium
Lineage: Bacteria
Description: partial 16S ribosomal RNA
Rfam family: Bacterial small subunit ribosomal RNA
Source: RNAcentral